GGUUUAUCUUUUCUGAGUGCAUGAUAACUAAAAAGUUGUAAGGCUUCCGGGUAACCUAACUCUCUAACGUCGUAAAAUUCAUUGACAAGGUGUUCAGCUAGAACAGCUUUGUUUCUUGUUGUAACAAUAACUCGACUUCCUUCACCGUACCAGCUUCUAUUCCCUGCUAGUGCAUUCAGUUCGCUUACAUCAUCCACAUCAUCUAAGACAAUUAGUACCCGCUUCUCAUGAACCAACAUUUUGAUUGCGGCAACACCUUUAUCAAUAUUAUUUACAAGAGGCCAGUUUGGGGAAAGAUCACGAAGAAGUUUGUUCUGCAGUUUUACUAGACCACCAUCUUCUUUAGAAAUAUCUUUAACGUUCAAGAUGAAACUACGACUCUCAAAAUGACCCACAAGUUUAUUGAAGAGAGCUGUGGCAAGAGUUGUUUUACCAAUCCCGCCCAUACCAUGAAGUCCCAGAACUUGAACGCGAUUUGAUUUAUCAUCUAUGAACCUCUUCUUGAAGCCUUCUACACGGGAAUCCAGUCCAACGGUAUAAUUAGCUAUACCCACCGGGGUUUUUCUCAAUUCUGUCAAAAUCCUAUUCCCCAAACGCCGAAUCAACUGAUCUUCUGAUCUGUAAUAAAAUAAUAUAUAAAGCUUUGGUAAGGUGAACAAUUAGCAGAGUUGGCUGUGUUUUCCUACAAAAGUGAUAACUCUACAUAAUUGCAAUGAUAGGAUCCUUGGCCAUGGUAGUAAAUCCCAUGAGUUGCUGCUUAAAACUGGAAUUCUCUUUAACGCUAUUGGAAAUCCCAGGUUCCACCCAAAAGUUAAGUUGCAACAGGCUUCGGCCUUCCUUGUAAAGACCAAUUAACUAGCUAAUGUGAAUCCAUUAUUAAAGCUCACUUUCUACAUGAAUGAAGCUCAAGCUUAACUCAUUAAAGCUCUUUCUUUUUUCUUAAUUUUUUUUUUAGUGAAAACGAUCAUGCGUGCGUGCUUUUAUUAAUAGAAGAUAUCUAAAGAUACAACGAAAAGAACUCUAGGGAAAUGAUCGAGUUAUAGCAUUAAUUCGGUUCGUGGGACAUGUUUAUAAAGAAACUCAUUUGCAUGUUAAUUUAUGAAAUUUAAGAAGCAAAACAACUUGUAUAAUUUCAUGUAAUAAACUUAUUUCAUAUGUAAUUAAAAACACUAUUUUUAUCAAAUAAAAUUCAAUAAGAAUUUAAAAAUAACAUUGUGCUACGGUUCAUCUUGAGUGCUUUAUCCCAAAAUCGUCCUUGGCUUAUGUGUUGUUGAAGGCUGGUUGGCAGGGGUAGUUUCAGGUUUUGGUUCCUUUCUUUAUUUGAGACUUUAUUGCGCCAACAAAAAAAGGGUGGGAACCAAGGUAGAAUCGGGUUUUAGUGUUUUUUUUUUCUUGGAGGCAUUCCGUUUAUGUUUUUCUGAGGGGCUUGGCUGGGGCAAAAAAUCACAAUCGUUGCUGCUGUGAGAAUAGCUUGGAUGUUGGUGUGCAGGCUUGGCAUUGCGUCUUCGUCUUCUCGGAUGUGUGCUUCUGUGAUUUAGCUGCAUUUGGCUCUGGUGUCGGCUCCCUGCUGCAAGUCGCUGGUGGUUGGCUUCUUGCUUCACUUGGGCUCUGUUGUUUUCCUGGAGUUGUCUCUGGGAGGAUGCCAUGCAGUCAUAAUCGUGCAUUUAAUGCAAGACCCAAUUGGCUAGGCCCUUUUUUCCUUCGAUUACAUUGGGAGGGUUGCCGCUUUCUCGGCUAGAUUGGACGUUCUUAGGUGAGUUAGAUUUUGGUUUGUUGGUUUCGGUUCCUUGGGAUCUUGCUGCCCUUUUUAUGUUGCCAAGGGGGCUGUUGGUUUGUGAUUGAAACACUAUGCUCAUUUGGUUUGGUUUCGGUGAGUUAUUUUGUUAUUUUAAAAAGAAAUGUUCUGUCACUUCAUUUUCUUAUUUGUUAAUAGUUUGGCAUGCUACUGCUUGCAUUUGGUUUGCCAUUCUUUCACGUCAUUUCUUUGGGGUCUGAAGGGGCGCAUGGUUUUAGAGUCGGUUUGUCAUUGCAAUUUCCUUUCGUUCGGAUCUUUUGGGUCUGCAUGUUUUUCUUUUGGGGUUUGGGUAAUUCCCAGCUAUUGCUUUGUCUUUCCAUUGUUUGUUGUUGUCCUUCUGCUUAGUGGUCGCUUCUUUUUUUUGGGUUUGAAUGAUGCUUCAGGAUUCCAUGUAUCUUUUUUGCUCUAACGUUUUUCUUUUUAAAUAAAUGUCUUGUUUGCAGCUCUGAUUUCUGUAAAUUGAACUGGGAGGUGUUGGAUUUUGAUCGGUUCUUGGUUGGCCUACUUAUGUUUUUUCCUUGGUGUCUUGCAUUGUGAGUUGUUUUCUUUUCGCUCUGGCUUGAUUUGGUUUGCCUUGCCAGUCACUUGAUUUUGUUUGUUGUGUUGAUUUUCUCGGUCUUAUUAAUCCAUUUUCUGUUUUUUCGUUUCCCGUUUUUGUUUGGUGCUUGCAUGUGUGGUGUUGUUUGAGGGGUAUGUCUGGCUUUUUCAAAAAAAAUUGUUUCUUGCUGGUUUGGGUUGGUGUUUGGCUGUGGUCCACGUUGUCAAGUGGUCUUUAUUGUUGCCUGUGUGUGCUGCAAAUAAGGCUUUCCUUUUCUGCAAAUGUUGUCUGUAGCUUUGUUGUACCAAAAACAUUUGAUCCAAUGUUGGUUCUUGGUUGUCAAAGUGUGUAUGUGGCUUAUUGUGUGUGUGGCUUGGAGGAUAUUGACUUUUUGUCUUUUUUUGUGCCGGGUAGAUUUUACAGAGCAACAUUCUGCUGUUGAAGCAGGGUUGCUCUGAAUGGCUUGGACGGGAACAUGGUUGAUUUUAUGGUUGAUGUUUAGAGCAUAUAGGAUUAUUCGUUGUUAUAUGCCAUCAAAUGAUUAGGCUUGGGUGUAGGGCAAGUUUGGAUUGCCUUCUUCUUUUGAACAACACCAUUUUGGAUUCUGUUUUGUUCAUCUGGGUUGGUGUGUUUUAGAGUGUUAAUAUAGGGUGGGUAAGGGGGUAUAAGCUGGAUGAGUUGGGGUAUGCUUGCUAGGCGUUGGGAAAAGAAUUUAGGGGUUUGUUUUGUGCAAACAAACUUGGACUGUCUUCAACUAAUUAAUGAUAGGCUUGGCUUCAAAUGAAAGGGGAGUAUUAGGCUUCAGAUUGAGUGUGUCGUUCUCUUUUUUGUUUAUGCGAAUUGAAUUGUGUCUUGUUCGGUUGGGCAGGAAUGUGUUGCGAAUUGAGUUGUGUCUUGUUCGGUUGGGCAGGAAUGUGCGAAAUUCCAUAUUUUUUAUGAUAAAUUAUUUUUUCAGUUUUUCAUUGCUUUUCUUUGCAAAGCCAAUUAAAACCAUAUUGCACCUACUUUCAUAUAAACAUAAGAUUUACUUACCUCUGUAGAUUUCAUGCAUUUGCCUCCUAUAACUUGCGGUUUUAUUUAAUUAAAUCUACAACUUUAGCUCUAUCUACCUGCAACUUUUGUUAUUCUUUAUUUAUGCAUGUUCUGAGGAUUAUUAUAAGGCUGUCAACUAAUUUGUGGAUCACCUUAGCACUUUUGGAAUUUUUGUUAUCUCCAGCGUAAUCUUUUGUUUGCAUCAUUGGCCUUUAUAUGUAUUUUCCCACCCCCAAGAACAACAAAAAGCCAAAGAGAAGGGUGUGGAAGAAAUACAUCACCUGGUGUCAAAAACGAAACCAGAAAUACCACCAACUUUAUUCAUGGCUUCUCUCCACUUGCCCACCUUCUCCUCCCCAAACCUCUCCAUGUGAUUCAUAAAAUCUUGUUCGAGAGGACCCUUCUGUCUCCUAACAUGGGAUGGAUCAACUUGGUAGAACACAGGCAGGAUCAGCCUCUUCAACUCGCAUAUUCUAGCUAGCUCCUCAAGACACCAAUGAGAGUUGGCAUACCUUGGUGAAAGAAUAAUGAUCGAUAAGGCUGAAUCUUCAAUGGCCUCCAUCAGAGUUGGAGCAAUCUCGUCUCCCUGAGUCAUUCCAGAGUCAUCUAAGAAGACUCUGAAGUCUUGCUUGCUUAAUGAAUCGUAGAGAUUUUUGGUGAAGCCGUGGCGGGUGUCUUCUCCACGAAAACUUAAGAACACAUCCCAGUGGAGUCUGAGAGCUGCCGGAGAGGAUGAAACAAUCAGGCUAUUGGCCAUUGGGCGUGGCUAUUUGGUUCUUUCUUUAUUUUCCUUCCUUUUAUCGUGGUCAUGUAGUUGGUUGCAUUAUAACUCGGUCCGUGCUUCCCGUUAUAAUAUUUUUGCAUUUUAAAAAUACAGUAAAAUAAUAUAAAAUUCCCUCGUACAAUAAAGUCAAGAUUCCCAAACGUGAGAAAAAAAAAAAAAAAAAAAAAAAGAACAAGUGGCAAAAGUAAGAUAUCGAAUAUGACACUGACGGCUUUGGUUGAUUUGCGGAAAAUAUCUUAUUGUGUUUUUUAAAAAACUAUAUUUUUAUGUAUUUAUUUUUAUAAAAUAUUUUAUACAAAAAUUAAUCAAUAAAAAUUAUUUUAUAAUUAAUUAUUAAACUUAAUUUAUUUAUUAAAAAAUAUUUUCAUCUUAUAAAAUUUUAUAAAAUAUUUUAUAAAAAAUAUUUCAUUGAUGAUUUCAUUUAAUUAUUUUAACUACAAUCUUCGUCUCAUCACCAUAAUUAUCAUCUUUUAUUUCUUUAUUAUCAUUUUUUCUUUAUUUCUACAACUAUUAUCUUUUUUUUCUACCAUCACCUCCUAUUCCUCGAUCAUCAUCAUUUCUUUUUUAUUAUUAUUAUCACCUCAUCACUGCUUUUUUUAUUGUCAUCCCUCCUUUUAUUUCACCAUUAUUGUUAUUGUUUUUUAUUUUACCAUCACUAUUAUUGAAAAAUAUUUUAUUUAUAGAACGAAAUAUAUUUCAAGAUAAACAUUUAAAAAGUAUUUUAUAUGUAAAAUAUUGUAUAUUAAAAAAUAUUUUAGGUAAAAUAAAGAACCCUAUUGAACAAUAACCUUUUUUUAAUAUAUAUAUAUAUAUAUAUAUAUAUAUAUAUAUAUAUAAAAUAAAUUAAAUGAAAUUUUUUUUGCAAUUUUUUUUUAUUUUAUUUUUCAAACUUGAAUAAAGGAUGCAAUGCGAAACCAAAUGACGCAAGUCCUAAAAUGCGAAUACACAAAAUAUGUUAAAGAGGAAAAUUAAACGAAGAACAAAGAAACAUGAAAACUGCAGUGUCAAACAAAGCUAGGGGUUUUUCUAUAAAUGGUUUAAUUGGGAGUGCCCUAACAGCAAGAGGAUGAAUUUGUUUUUGGUAAGUGUUUUAAUAAAAAUUUAAUUUUUUAUGUUUUAAAAUUAUUUUAAUGUUUUAAUGUUAAAAAUAAAUUUUAAUAAAAAAUCUAUAUAUUAUUUUAAUAUUUUUAAAAUAAAAAAUAUUUAAAAAAACAAUUGUUACUACAAUAUUAAACAAACUUCAAAUUAGUGAAUUUAUAGUUUAAUUGCUACCCAACUACUCAAGUAAAAUUUGAGAGAGAUUAAUAAAGAAAUGAACUUGACUAUUAGAAGCCUAUUUAUUUUUAUUUUUUUAUGAAGAUACAAUCUUGGGUAUAAUCUUGAAUAAAUUACUAAAAACAUGUGGUAAUUGGAUUACACAAAUAUUUUACAUUCUCGGGUCGUUGAGGUUAAAUAAGUUAGAAUUUUGAUUUUAAAUUAUAAUUAAAUCAUCACAUUAACAUAAAGAAACCCAAAACAACCUAAAUCAAAGUCAAUUUUUAAAAUUCCCCUAAUUUUUAAAACCAAUAACUAGGCAAACCCCAUGAUCGACUAAAAUUCCUUUAAUUUACAUAAUAAACAUGUUAUUGCAUCAUAAAUUAACAAAGAAUCAUUCAAAUUAUCUUUUUUUUUAAAUCAACCAUAAACCCUAACAAAUCCAAAUUUAGAGGUUUUCAUUUCCUUACCUAAAAUAAUAAAAAUUCUUGUAAUUAAACUUCUUAUCACUCAUGACUAACUCACUUUAAUGAGUUUUAAUGGACAAUUCAUCAAAAAUCUUCUUUAUCCUCCAAUGGAACCAUUUCUUCCUCAGGCUUCUAAACUUUCAAUCUCUAUCUAAAGUUUACUAAUUUGGUUUUGAUUUUGAGGUGGAAAACCUUAAACUAAAAUCUCCAUGCCAUUUAAUUCAAGAAAGAAAGAAGAAGAAGAAAUAAAGAAAUUUUCAAGUUUCCCUUUUUUUUCUUCCAUAAAUGGUGUCUUUCAUGGCUUUUAAAGGGGAAGAAAGUAUUUUUCCUUAUUUACAACAAUGCCAUUCAUUAAAUAUCCCCUGCAUAAUUUUUAUCAAAGCUUAGUCCAUCAACAUUUUUUGCGUGUCACUUUUUUUUAUCAGAGAUAUAUUCUAAUUCACUUGAAAAAUUUCAUCACUAGUCAUAAUGAAUUUUCUUUAAAUUUUAUUAUUUUUUAGUUAAAAAUUACGCUAUUAAGCAUGAUUUUACUCUAACUAUUAAUACUUUCAUUCACAAAUUCAUAAUUUAAUUCAUUAAAGGAUUUUACACCAAUUUACCAAGAACUUUCACCACUAAUCAUAAAAAGUUUCUUUUAGUUUUAUUAUUUUUUAGUUGAGAAUCACCUCAUUUAGCUCUAGUUUAAAAUUUCGGGUUGGGGUUUACAUAACAUAUCUUCUAAUUCAAUGUACUAUUAUAAUUCUACUACAUUCAGAAUAUCGUUAUUUAACCUAUUAAGAAAUCUUGCCAUUAUUGUUUUUUUAUCCUCCAUUAUAUUAGUUCUAAUCAUAGUGACUUAUCUCUUUAUAGUAAUCCUCUUCAUUCUUAGACCAUUGAGUCAGGUUUUGGAACCUUUGAUAUAAAUCUUAGUAGUAAUGUCCCCAUACAAAUGUUUUCCUAAUGAUUCCUUUCAUCUCUUCGCAAGUAUCAAUGAGUAUUCACUCUUUCUCCUCAUACCUAAUACAAGUUGAUGUCAUCAAAUAAUAACAUAAUCAGUAAAUUCAAUGACAAUAAGUUUUUACCUUUUUUUUCUCCGAAUAGCUAUAGCAAUAAAAAAUCAGCUCAACUUUCUUCUUCCAAUCUAAAUAAGUAUCGGGAUCAUUUCUAGCCUAAAACACCGGAAUUCUCAUCUUAAUACUCCCAAAGUUUCUAUCUAAGUCAUCACGACACAUAAGACCUUGAAUUUCACCCCUAUAGUUGAACUAAUCACCUCGAUAAAAACCACCAACCCUUUAAUUUUCUAGGCUGUGAAAACUAAUCUUUUAGCGGUGAUGAUGCAUCUUUGGAAGACAUCAUCAUAAUCUGAAAAACACCUUCAUAAUAAGAAAAUAUAUCCUCAUAUACUCUUUCACAUGCUUACACUCAAGUAUAUAUUACUCCUCUUAUGUUUCACUUAAAUAUAGUUUAUCACGAUAAUAUGUUCACUUUUUCACUUUUUACCUCCCGUACUUACCUUUUCAGUUCUUUAAAUAACUAAUCUCUAACAAUAAAAAAUAACAACUUUAUAAUGUCAACUUCAUAUUGUUGGACUCAAAGAAGCAAGAAAUAACCAAAAACUAUAAAGAAAACAAAAUACAAAUAUGAAAAAGAUGACAAAACUAAUCAGAUACGAAUACGAACGAUAAUGCAAAAAUGAAUAUGAAAGCAAGAAACAUUGAUUUUAACCAAAACUAGCAAUGGUAAACUAAGAAGAUUUUUGUUGACUCAAACUGAUGUAAUAGUUAACGAUUUCACAAUUUCAAACUUACUCGAACCUAAGUGUGUCUAAAUAACCCCGAAAUUAAUAUUUGAAACUAAGAUACACAAUACCCUAAGAAUAUCAUAUUGUAGGUGUAUAUCUCUUAAUUUCUAAAUUCAAACUUCCAACGAUGCAAUUUGUUACGGAGUUUAUACAACUUGUAAAUUGCGAUCUCUUUGAUAUUUUUUUCUUUUUUAUAUAUAUACUCUGUUGAUUUGCAAUAGUCAAAAUUAAAAUCAAUUUUUUAUAUAUAUUAUUUUCCAUAAAUAAUCAAAUUUGAUGAAAUAAUAAAAAUGAAAGCAUAAACUGAAAUAAAAUAGAACCCGACUUUAAAGUCUUGCUGUGAUAUCAAUAUAUGUGAAUCUAGAGGGUAAGAAUCCUAGAACCCAUAGGAAAUAAAGGAAAAACCCAAGAAGUCUAAAAUUAGUUUUGGUUGAUAAAAGCUCAACACAAAGACAUUGAUUAUCUGAACCGAGGAACUAGAACUAUUGUAAUGAAACCCCUACUCAACAAUUAUAAAGAAUCAUAAAUGAAAAGUAUAAAGAAGAACACCACAAUCUUUGAUAAGUCCAAGAAAAGCUCUUGAAUAACCAAAAGUAUGAGCGAAUAUCACACAAUAAUAAUUCUAAAUAAACCAAUAUGAAAAGAAAAACCUAAUUAAAAGCUAAAUAACUCUAUUUAUACUAGGUAAGAAUUCCUUAAACAAGCUUGAAAAAUAUUAAAAGAGCACUAAUCCAAUUAGAAAAAAUAACCCUAAACCAAUUAGAAAAAUAAUAUAAUUCUCGCACAGUAGUUUAUAGACCUCUUCGUAAAGUCUUCUCGAUGUCUAAUCACUAUGAAAUUUUAAAUCUAUAUAAAAUAAAACCUUUGGAAUAUUUCGGUGUAAUUUUAGAUCAAUCUAACAAUCAAAUAAAAAAUUAUGCUUGUUAGUAUAAAAUUAUGCAUGAGAAAAAAUAAGCACAAAACUUACUUAAGCUUGUCUAACUCUUGCACGAAUCAUAUUAAUUAAAACCUGAUCAUUCGUUGUUGAUGUUUAAAAGCUUGACUUGAACCAAAUAUUCUGAAUAAGCCCAUUGAGUGUCUCUUUGAACUUCUUAUCUAUUGACCUCAUAAUAUAUCCAAUUGGCAUUUCUAGUAGAUCCCUUGUUUGUAUCAGUCAUGAAAAAUUUUCAUAUAAAAAUUAGACUUUCCGUGUCCUGGGUUGAAAUGAAUGUGCCUAACUGCGAGUCCAUGAAUUUACUUACAAUUAGUCCCUUAACUUACUUCAUGAAGAAAGAAAAGUAGCAGAUCAUUGGUUCUUUCACAAUUGGUUUAUGGAGCUGGUAAAACGGUACUUGUCAUUAUUAUCUGUUACUUUUGAACAGGAAAAAGUCUCAUUGUUAUCUAUUACUAUUGAAUAGGACAGAGUCAUCAGCUAGCCAUUCUGCCCGGAACCAGAAAAUAACAUUGAGAUGUGUGCGCUGUUUAUGGAGACGAUGGUGAUUUUGUUUUUCUAGAAAGUUGAGUCAUGAUUGGUUAUUGUGACAUGCACAGUAAAGGUGAUGAUGGGCAAUGCUUGCUUUGCAUAAAAAAAUAAAAUUGUGUGGAUGUAAAGUUUGUUUUAUGUAACUUCUAGUUCUAGGUUCAUACAAGCUGAAAUGCAUAAAUAUAGGUGCAAGACAAUCUCAUAAAUAUAGGUGCAAGACAAUAUUCUAUCGAUACGAGGCAAGAUGAACAUGAUUUCUAGCUGUCUGGGGAACAGCAGACACUAGUUUUUUUAUAAAAAAAAAUUCUCGACAUCAUCACUAGUAAAUGUUAUUUUUUUAUUAUUAUUAUUACUAUUGGUAUCCGGAUCAGCUUGUGUGUACCUUAAUUAAUUAUAUGAGCUUUAAAAUUAACGAUUAUGUAAGUUUCUAGUGCUAUGAGAUUUGUGAGACUUGAACUAGUUAAGUUAUAUUAUUGUUGUAGUUUAGAAAAUGUUAUUGUAAACAGUGCAAAACCUACCCCUUGAUUUGAGGAUUUUAUAUACUCACCUGACAGCACAGAUAUGUAUAGUGAUUAUUAGUGUGCCCCACAAUCAAAAAAACGUGUACAAUGUUUAAGAUUGGUGUCUAAAAUUGUUAAAAAUAUUUUUUUAACACGAUACAAAUAUAUAAUAUAAAUUUAGAUCAUAAAUUUAAAUUGUAAAAUCAAAAAAUCAUAAGUAAAAUAUUUCAAUUAAUUAUAUAUUAACAAUUUCAAUUAAGUAGUAAAUAAUAACCUAGUGUGGGGUUUAGUAAUUGUUUAGUUAUAUGAUAAAUCUUAUUUUUUAAAAUGUUUUUAAUUUUAAAAUGUAUUAAAAUAAUAUAUUUUUUAUUUUUUAAAUUUUAUUUUUAAUACAAGUACAUUAAAACAAUUUUAAAAAAUAAAUUAAAACUUAAAAAGUAAUUAAAAACCCACCCCCUCCCCCGGGUCACCACCAGUCAGUAUAGAUAAAAAGUUGAAGACCGGUGGUGACUUUGAUCUUUGUAGUUAGUGGCAGAACUUAGAUUUAAAAAAAAAGAAAUGGCAAUUUGGUAAAUAAAACACAACAUCAAAGUCAAUCAUGAAUAGUUGCCCAAGUCUUCAACUCGGUAAGCCUUAGCUGUUGAGAAACCUUAUAUGCUCAUUUACACACACAACACAGUACCAUCUUUAUAGAGAGAGAAUAGAAGCCCACAGAAACCAUUAAUUUAAGAAAACCCAGCGAGAAAGAGAGUUUAUUUGUGUAUAUUCCUUUUCAAGAAAUGGCAAAGUGGAGUUCUUGUUUCUUGAUUUCAGCUACAAUCUUGAUUUUGAUGGCGAUGGGCUUAACAUCCACCAUUCAAGGAAGUAGGGAUCAACCAUCUAGGGUGGAUUCCUACCACUACUACCACUAGAUCAUCAAUCUGCAACAAGGGAUCUAUAGCAGAGUACAUGGCUGAGGAUGGAGAAGAGUUUGACAUGAACACAAAGAUCAACAGGUGUAUGUGUAAUAAACUUAUUGGCAUUGCUUUACGAAAAUAAAGAAAUCGUUUACGUUGCGGAGUCUAGCUUUUGAGUUGAUUUCAACGAGACCAUAGUGAGGAUCUACUCUGAUUCCUUUGUCAGUCGUGUCAUACCAAUAGCAUUUGAAUAAAAACACUCUAUUAUGCUCGGUAUGAUAUUACAGUUCAACAACCUUUUCUAAUCUACCAUAGUAGUCAACUUCAAACUCAAUAGAAGUCGAUCCCUUAAUACAAAAACCGUUAUUGUAUGUCUUUCUUUCAUGCCUGUAUUCUUCAGUAUGAAAGGCAUAUCCAUUGAAAAAAUACCUGUAAUAACACUUGACUUUUCUUUCAGGGCCCAGGCUUAAUAAAGAUAGUGAAAUAGCAACACUACCUCCUAUUUGAUAAACCUUGUAUAUCAAAUACAACAAUAAUCAAUAAACGGAUAUUCUGUAAUAUUGACGUACAGUUACCUUGCAAGAGAUAAUGAGUUUGUGAUAGGAUUUAUAUGUGUUCUAAACCACGUGAAAAAUUGUUAAUCUUGUAAUUGAAAGAUUUGGGAUUCGAUUAGCUGUGAGUUAUUGGAUAGUAAAUAUCGUCGAUGUGCCUGCAAGGUUGUUCCAAAUUAUAUGAGUUUAUGAUAUCACAAUAUAUAAAUAGUACACUCUUGACAAAGUUUAAGUAGUACAUCUACUUACUUAAUAAAAGGUCUCAGCUCAUCAUAGUUAAAUAGGACAUAAUUGUGUGCUUGUCUGAACUCUAUUUCAGACAAAUAUCUUCCCUUUAUGGUAUUUUUAGGUGUGGGUCAUCCAGGAUUGGAGAAUAUUGACAAGUUCCCACUUGAAGUCACUUUACCACCAUCAUCAUGCCUUGUAACACGGUUGAUCCUCGUUCUCAAAUAAGAUUCGAAAUAGUAUGAGAUAAAUGUUGAGAUCUCCUCAACAAUAUAGGCCUCACAUAUUGACGCCUCAACAUGCGCUUUGUUCUUAACCUUUUUUUUUAAAGAUUGAACAAGUACCUGCAUAUGUAGAAUUAAACAAAAAUUAUCAAUUAAAAAAACAAUGAAAAAAUGUUUAAUUAUGAAUUACAUUGCAACUAUAAUAUCUAACCUCUUGAAUGGAUACAUCUAUCUAUACUGGACCAGUCCUUCAACUUUUACCUCAUACGGUAAAUAUACGGGUAGAUGCUCCAUUGAGUUAAAAAAUAAUGGAGGGAAUAUCAUCUCAAGUUUGCAUAUUGUCUCGACGAUAUUCGUUUCAAGCCUUUCAAUGUGAUCAACAUUCAACUUGCUGGAGCUUAUAUCUCUAAAGAAAUGACCGAUCUUCGUGAGUGCAUCCCAUAUCCCCUUUAACAACAAAUCAUGAAAAGCUAAUGGAAUGAGUGUUUGCAUAAACACGUGGCAGUCAUGACUCUUUAUUCCAUAUAAUCUGCAUUCCUCCAUAUUAACUAGCCUUGAUAUGUUCAAGGCAUGUCCAUCGGGAAAACGCAGACUCUUAAGCCAUUUGUAGACUAGUAGUUGUGUGUUUUUCUCUAACACGAAGCUUGCUCUUGAUUUUGCGACCCGUGACCCAUCACAAACCAACUCUAUAUUUUUACAGUUACAGAACAACGCUAAAUCCAAUCUAGCCUUGAUGUUGUCAUUUGUCUUUCCCUUCACAUCCAUGACGGUGUUGAAAAUGUUCUCAAACACGUUCUUUUCAAUGUGCAUGACGUCAAGGUUAUGGUGGAGAAGAUUGGUCUUCCAAUAAGGAAGCUCCCAAAAGAUACUUCGCUUUACCCAAUUAUAGGUCAAACGAAAACCAGGAAACUUCUGCUUACCUGAUUGGAGACCAAACACAAUGUCACCGUACUCUGAUACAAUAUCAUGCAAUUCUUCACCAGAAAAAUACGGGGGUGCAACAUCAUUUUCAACUCUGCCAAUAAAUAAAUCCUUUCUGUUCUUUCUGUACCUGUGAUUCUGUGGUAAGAAACGAUGGUGACAUUAAAAAAAAAAGCUUUACCCCCGUUUGUUAGCGUGAAUGCCUUGUUGUUUUGCAUGCAGUAUGAACAUGCUAGUUUUCCAUGCGUACUCCAACCAGAAACCAUUCCAUAAGCUAGGAAAUCAUUGAUAGUCCACAUCAAAGCCGCUCUCAUAAUAAAAUUUUGUUUCCUCAAGAUAUUAUAAGUCAAAGCUCUAGAGAACCACAACUGCGUCAACUCAUCAAUUAACGGUCGAAGACAAACAUCUAUAUUCCGGCCCAGACUGCUCGGACCUGGCAUGACCAUAGAUAAAAACAUGAACUCCAACCUCAUAUAUAUCCCUGGUGACAAGUUAUAAACUGUCAGUAUGACCAAUCAAGAAGAAUAAGGAGCAGCAAAUGACCUAAAUGGGUUAAAUCUGUCUGUACACAACCCAAGAUGCACGUUCCUUGAUUCAGCUAAAAAGUAAGGAUGCACACUAUUAAAGUGUUUCCAUGCUUCGCCGUUAGAAAGAAGCACCAUCACUCCAUAACUGCAUGAUGUGAUUGGUGUUAUGUCAUGUGCUUAAUAGUUCUUUGUGACAUGAAUAACCUCUGCAGUCUAGGUGUGAUUGGGAAGUAUCUAAGUUUUUUAUAUGCCAUGAGAGUCUUUCCCCUACUAGUUCUGGGUUUGUAACUGGAAUGCUCACAUGUCAUGCACUCGGUCAGCUCAACAUUUUCAAGGUAGUAUAACAUGCAGAAGUUAGGGAACAUGUCAAUUUUUUGGUAUCCUAAACCGAGGGGUUUCAUCAUGGACUUUGCAGCAUAGAAGUUCUCUUUCAGCCUGAUCCCUUCAGGUAAAACACUUCUCGCCCAUUCGAUAAUUUUGUCAUAACCGGCCUCACUCAACCCGUGAUCUGACUUAAUGGUGAACACCUGUGCUACGACCGAUAAUUUCUUUGGUUCGUGCAGCCAUCCCAUAAUGGUUCGUUAGAAUCUUUCAACAGAUCAAAAAACCUUGUUCCAUCUACAUUAGGUUCUUCUUCUACUAUUGGACAUUGACUAACAUUGACUGACAUUACCUUUAUUCAUUCUCAUUGCAUCCAUAACCAUAUUCCUGUAAGGAUUAGUGUUGUCAUAUACAACUUCAUGCACAUUACUAAUACUAGAAGUUGACCCAACCACCCUUUCUACCAUGCUCUCAUUAGGAAUAAAUAGUUCUCUGUGUGCAUACCAACAUAGAUAAUCCUCUAUGAACCCUUUGGUUAGAAGAUGCAUCGUUACAACAUCUUGAUGCAGAAAUUUUUAUUUUUACACUUCCUGCAUGGACACCUAAUACCGCCAUCAUUAAAAUUUCUCGGAAUAGAUGUUGUGAAAUUAAUAAAACCCUGAAUCCCAUUACAAUAAUCCAUCCUUCGCAAUCCUUGGGGUGAGUCUCGAUAUAUCCAUGAACGAUCAUCUAUGACUUCUAUCGAACAUCUAUAAAAUUAUGAUGACAACAUGUAUUAAUUAACUAUGUUACGUAAAUAAAUUGGUAAAAAUAUUGGUUUGCCCCGAUAUUAUGCAACAAACUUAAAAAACACUUAUGUUAAAUAUUCAUUAUCAAUUAUCAAUUAUCAAUUAUCAAUUAUCAAUUAUCAACAUCCAUACAAAUUUAUACAUAUAUAAAUUUACGGAAAUCACAACUCCGCAAUAGAAUUGAAAAAAAUUAAAAUGGACCUGUUAAACAACUUAUUAUUUAUUUUAUCACAACACAUCUAAUUCGGUGUAAUUCAAACAAAGUUUCAACAAUUUACAAACAAAUACAAUUUGACAAAAUCUAAAACAAACUAUAAUAACUACAAAACUAUACAUUCAUACUACAAGUUUCUUUGACAAAUAACAAUAAAAUAAGUACAUAUGUUAACAAAAUACAUAUACUAAAAAAACAAUAAAAAAUAAUCAAAUUGACAUUUAAAUGUUAAAACUAAAAAGGAUAGAUUUACUUACAAAAAAUGGUAAAAUCCAUAAUAAAUUAAUCGAAGAACGGAUGUUGUGACCACGUACGAAAGUAUAAGAAACUUGAGUACUGGUGUUGAGAAGAGGGGGAGAGUUGGGAUGGGUGGUUGGUUGCAGUUUGGGAGGGGAGAGUUGAGAUGGAAGAAGGAGAAAUAGAGAAGGAGAGAGUUGGCAAAGUGUGUAUAUAUUGGCUUUUACCGAUGGAAUCAUUGAUAAAUAAGUGUCGUCGGUAUUCCCUAUCGGUAAUUCCAACGGUGAAUGGACCACGUCACUGGACGGAGAUCCUGGUUUGGAUCUCUCGGUCAUUCCGUUGGUAAAAUCAUCUGAAAAAAUUCCACGUCAUCACAUCGUUGCUCCUUUUCAAAAUUCUAUAUAUUCCAAUGGCAAUACGGUUGAUAUAUACCGACAGAAUUAUUCCGUCGGUAUAUACCGACCGUAUUGCCGAUGGAAUAUAUGCCAUCGGUAAUUAUUACCGACAAUAAAGGUCUGUCGGUAUAUACCGAUAAAAUUAGAGAAGGAAUUAUAUUUGUUGGUAAAAAUUACCGACAAAAAAAUUUCAUCGGUAAUUCUGUUGGUUUUUAUCGAUUUUUUAGUAGUGAUGUGGUUGUAGCAAUUGAAGAAUCAAAGAAUUUGGAAGAUUUGACAAUAAAAGAAUUAAUGGGAUCUCUACAAGCUCAUAAGCAGAAAAUUGAUAGAAGAGGAGAAGGAAGAUCUCUUGAACAAGCAUUGUAGAUAAAGUUAACUAUGAAGAAUGUUAGUGAAUCUGGCAGAGGAGCAUUUCAAAGAGGAAGGUUCAUUCACAUAAAAGGAAGAGGAGCAAGAUCAUUCAGAAAUCAAGAAUCUUAUGAAGCACGAAUUAAUUUCAGAGGCCAUAGCAGAAGCAGAGGAAGAAGUCAUGGAGGAUAUUCAAAUUGGAGGAAUAAUAAUGCAAACGUACAAUGUUAUAAUUGUAAAGAGUAUGGUCAUUUUGCUUCAGAUUGUUCAUAAUACAAAUUUGAAGACAAAAAUGUCAACUUUGCUGAGAAAGAAACUGAUUCUGAAGAACCUGCAUUAUUGUUGGCCUGUGGAAAAUUUGAUGGUAGCAACUCCAACACCUGGUAUCUAGAUAUAGGAGCAUCAAAUCAUAUGUGUGGUAUGAAGGAAGCAUUUGUUGAUAUCGAUGAAAGUGACACGACCAAAAGAUUGAUGUCUUCUCCCAAGUGCAGGAGUGUCGAAGUAAUAAAUAACUCGGCAAGACCGGGGUCGAACCACAAGGAGGUUAAUUGUAUAAAUUAUAGUUAACAGCAACACAAUAACAACAAUAAUAAUAGUAAUAAUAAUAAUAAUAAGAAUAAUAAAGAAGAAGAAGUUGAGGAGAACUUUGAGAUGGAAGAUUAACGUAAGGAUUAAACAAUGAUAACAACAAAUGUCAAGGCUAGAGGAUCCACUAAUGGUAUUUCAAACAAGUAUAGUAUAAACUCUUUUUAUUAAAUUGGAAACCACACACAAAGGAGGUUCCAAUCAGAUUAUAAAUUGUUAACAUGAUUACAUUAGUUAUCUUAUUCGAAUAAUGCUAAUACUUGUAAAUGUUGUCAGGCAUUCAUGAUUAUAACUUAUGUUAACAACAAAUCAAGUUCCUUUCAUAGCUCAGGUGUCGGUUAUACCAUACAGUAUGGGCUAUGAAAGUGCCAAGUAUUUGUUGUACCAAGUGUUAUACAACAUAAAUCUAGAUUAACCAUUUAACAAGCAAAGUAUUAAAAGUGAACAAGAUAACAAAUAUAAAGCAUGUUAGUAUCCAACAUUAAGGUCCAUGUUAAGUUUAUAUUAUACUUAUUCUUACACCAUUAGUGUACCCUUUUCACCUUGACAUAAUUAACUUAGCAACACAUAAUGAAAGAAAGAAACAUAAAUAAACAAGGAAAGGAAAUGAAAAGCAUAAGCAAGAAAUUAAUAUAAGUAAAACUUAAGCAUUACAAAAUAUAAAGAGAGAGCAAGAGCAUGAUCUUGAUAUGAACACCAAGAUGCCUAAAUACAUGGCAAAUGCCUCCUUUUAUAGGCCAAAAUUCGGAACUAUUGAUUUGUUGACUAAUUGAUGAGUGAGUGGCCACAUCUUGACUUGGUGACAAUUCUUAUCUUCUUGUCUGCCAAAAAGUCAUUGAUAACGUCAUCAUUUGAACAGACGUCAAUCAUGAAAGUUCUAGAGAAUUGUCUCAUCUUUCUAGGGUACAAAUUUGAGAUCAUUUGGAUUUCUAGAACUCGAGAUAUGGGCUGAACACUGAACAGUGUCUGGGCUGCAGGACAGAUUCGGACUUCUUCGUUGUUGCUACAAUUUGGACUUGAAAACAGCCUUAUUAAAUCUUGGACUCCCAUGAAAGUUGUAGGCCUAUGUCUUAGCUUUCCAUCCAUAUAAGAUGGACCUAAAUCCAAGAUCUGCAGCUCCAGAUAUCACCCGAUUACCGAACAGUGUUCAAGUUUGGACUACACCAAUCAUCUCUUUUCUAAGUUUGCCCAUCUCUUUGUCCUUUCAAUUGCAGUACUUCAACUCAUCAAUCAAUUCUUUCAUUUAUGUGAUAGGCCUGCAUUUAAGAUGAACAUUUACCAUAAAUUAAAGGUAUCUUAUAUUAUUAGAUAUGUUAGUAUAAAACAUGCUUUAGUUAAGGAGUUAUUGAUACUUCAAGUGCAAAAUGAUGAUAUAGAACCUUGAUAAAAAUGCACUUUUAAGUACUAAUCAGAAAGUUAUAAAGGUAACAUUACCUUUGGAGAUCUUUCUCAAAAACCUGUUGAAGGAAGAGGCAGAAUUCUUAUUAAACUUAAGAAUGGUGAGCAAAAGUUCAUAUCAGAAGUUUUUAAUAUUCCAGACAUGAAGAACAACAUUCUAAGCUUGGGAUAGUUUCUAGAGAAAGGCUUUAAAGUGCAAAUGAAAGAUAAGAAUCUAAAGAUUUUUGAUGAGUUUGGAGCUGCAAUUGCUUUAGUUAAAAUGACUGGAAACAUGAUGUUUCCUCUGGAUCUAAGUAUAUAUCUGUCAAAGUGUUUUAAGGCAGAAAUCUCUAACAUGAUGAAUUUAUGGCAUCUGUGAUAUGGACAUAUGAACUGUGGAUCAUUAAUGCUAAUGGAGAAAAACAAAAUGGUUAUUGGAAUACCAAAGUUAGAGCACACAAGCAGCAUAUGUGAAGUGUGUGUAAUGGUAAAGCAGCAUGGAAAGCCAUUCCUAAAGAAGAGUUCAAAAGCAUCUCAGCCUCUCGACUUGGUGUAUUCAAAUAUGUGUGGCCCUAUUUCGCCUACUUCAAUAGGAGGAAGCAUGUAUUUUCUCACUUUUACUGAUGAUUUUAGUGGAAAGAUAUGGGUAUAUGUGUUAAAAGAAAAGAAAGAACUGUUAAGCAAAUUUAAGGAGUUUAAAAAUUUAGUAGAAAAACAAAGUGAGUGUAAGCUAAAAUGCCUAAGAACAGAUAAGGGAGGAGAGUAUAUUUCUCAUGAUUUUGAUGAUUAUUGUAAAGAAAAUGGUAUUGUUCAUCAGCUUACAAUGCCAUAGAUUCCAUAACAGAAUGCAGUAUCAUAGAGAAAAAAUAGAAGUAUUAUGAACAUGGUUAGAUGUAUGCUAAAAGAAAAACUGUCCAAAAAAGUUUUGGGGAGAUACAAUUGUAUGUGUUGUGUAUUUGUUGAACAAAUUUACAACAAAAAGACUUCAGAAGAUCACACCAGAAGAAGCAUGGAGCACAAAGAAACCAAGAGUUGAUCAUUUGAGAAUUUUUGGCAGUGUUGCUUGUGCUAAAAUUCAAGAGGAAAAAAGAACUAAACUUGAAGAUAAAAGUCUGAAAUGCAUACUGCUGGGAUAUGGAGAGAAUUCAUAUGGUUAUAAAUUGUACAAUCCGAUGAAAAAGAAGGUGAUCAUGUCAAAAGAUGUGAAGUUUGAUAAAGAGCUAAAAUGGAACUAGAAUUCUGAAGAUCAGCCACAGAAACUAAUUAUAGAUGAAAAGCAGAUUCAGAAAGAUGAAAAAUAAAUCAUGUUAGCUCCAUCUCCAUCAACUAAUAGUCAUGCUGGUCCUUUAAGCUCAACAACAAGAAAGACAAAGAGCAUACAAGAGAUUUAUGAUGUAACAGAAAGAAUCAAUCUUAAUGAUGUUAAUAUGCUUUACUUAUUUUCAGGAAAUGAUCCUAUUACAUUUGAAGAAGCAUAUCAAGAAGACAAAUGGAAGAAAGCAAUGAAAGAGGAGAUCAAUUCCAUCAUAAAAAAUAAUAAAUGGGAAUUGACAACACUUCCCGAAGGACAUAAUACAAUAGGAGUAAUAUAGAUCUUCAAGACAAAGAGGAAUGCAUAAGGAGAAAUUGAAAAACUUAAAGUUAGAUUAGUAGCAAAGGGGUACAAGCAACAAUAUAGAGUUGAUUAUGAAGAUGUUUUUGCUCUAGUAGCAAUAAUGAAACAGUAAGAUUGAUGAUUUCCCUAGCAGCUCAGAAAAGAUGGAAGAUAUUUCAGAUGGAUGUAAAUUCAGCAUUCUUGAAUGGCACCUUAAAGAGGAAGUGUAUUUAGAACAAUCAGCUGGCUUUAUGGUUAAAGGAGAAGAAGAGAAGGUUUGCAGAUUGAAAAAAGCUUUUUAUGGGCUUAAACAAGCACCAAGAGCAUGGAACUCUAGAAUUGAUGGAUAUCUUUCACAAAAAGGAUUCACAAGAUGCCCUUAUGAACAUGCAUUAUAUGUGAAGAAAAGUUUACAAGGCAGAGUAAUGUUUGUUUGUUUAUAUGUUGAUGAUAUACUUUUCAUAGGGGAUGAUCCAACUAUGAUUCAAGACUUCAAACAAUCCAUGGUGACGGAAUUUGAAAUGACAGACUUAGGUCUCAUGGCAUAUUUUCUAGGAUUAGAGGUGAAGCAGUGCAGUGAUGGAAUCUUCAUUUCACAAGCCAAAUAUCCAACAAAAGUUUUGAAGAAAUUUACUAUGGAAGAUUGUUGUCCAGCAAACAAUCCUGUCGAAUAUGGAACCAAGUUAACUAAAGAAGGAGAAGGAGAUUUAGUUAAUCCUACAAACUACAAAAGUGUUAUGGGUUACUUGCGUUAUCUAACAUAUACCAGAUCAGACAUUCUGUUUGGGGUUGGCUUAAUUAACAGAUAUAUGGAGAAGCCAAGAAGUUCACAUUUGAGGAUAGCAAAAAGGAUCCUUUGUUUUGUUAAAGGAACUGCAAGCUAUGGAUUGUUUUAUUCGUCUUUGCAGAAUCUUGAAAUUACAGGUUACAGUGAUAGUGACUGAGCAGGAAACUUGGAAGACAGAAAAGGCACAACUGGAUUUAUAUUCUUUAUGGGAGAAACAACUUUCACAUGGACAUCAAAGAAACAAUCUAUUGUUGUAUUAUCCACAUGUGAAACAGAAUACAUUGCUACUGCAUCGUGUGUGUGUCAUGCAAUAUGGCUAAGGAAACUGAUGGAAGAUUUGUAGCAGAACCAAAGCAAGGCUACACGAAUCUUUGUUGAUAAUAAGUUUGCUAUAGCACUUGCAAAGAAUCUAGUUCAUCAUGAACGUUUAAAACAUAUUGAUACUUGAUUUCACUUCAUUAGAGAGCACAUAAAAGAAGACGAUAUGGAGUUAGUUCAUGUCAAAACUCAUGAACAAAUUGCGGAUAUUUUUACAAAGCCAUUGAAGACUAAUGUUUUAUGUUAUUUUCAGAAGAAGCUUGGAAUCAUGAAGAUGGAUGGAGCAAGUUUAAAAGGGGAGAAUGUUAGUUAUUAAACUUGUUUACCAAGAUUAAGUGUAUUAAAUUUAGUACAAUGAAUAAUCAUCCACAUCAUAAAUACUAUGAAUCUAGAAAUACCAUGAAUAUAGAGUAAGUAUUGAAGAGUCUAAUAUUAAUUAAGAACUUAAAAGAUUAUAAAAGACAUUUUAUAAUGUCUAUAUAUAUAUUGUAUGGAUUUGAUAAUGAAAGGUGUGAGAGUACCAUUAUUUAGUGUAUUAUAUUCCACCAAAUUGUGUGAGUAGUAACCCAUCCUCCGUUCUUUCAUUGUUUUUUUCCAACACAUACUUCAUACAAAGCCUGUUGUAUGCGAAAAGUAACAAGUCAAUGAUCAGGCAAAUAGAGUUUUACUGAAAAACACGGAAGCAUCGUGGUAUGAUCAUUUACACCAUGCAUGUUUAUCCACAAAUCUAAUGUGUACAGGAAUGGUUUGUAGCUUUCGUACUCGACUACCCUGAGUAGCUGAAGAUGGUAGAGAUUCCACCUGAACAAAUCUACCUCCCAUGGUACCUUUGCCUCAGGAUUUCUUUUUGCACGGUCAACAAGUUAUGGUUCACGGUUCACCUCCUAUCAGAUACUAAAGUAAGAGUAUCAAACUGCAGAAAGCUCCGGCUUAAAAGCAUUACCCUUUAUUUUGUGUUUGAAAGUUGCGUCUUAAUACCCGAUCUCUCGCAAAAAAGUCUUUACUUCCCCAGUUAUUUUUCAUCAUUGCUCUACUUCACAAGAAUGAUCCUCUUCACCAAUAAGAAGCUUUGGCUUCAAUUAAAUUACGACUCAAAAGAGCUUAUAACCUCAUUGUGUUUAAAUUGAGAGAAAUUAGUUUGAUGUUUUCAUGGGUGUGUUAUUAUUAUUAUUAUUAUUAUCAUGGUUUUCCCAUUUUCAUUUCACCGUCCAAACACACUCUGCCCAAACACAUUAUCAGACAGUAUGCACAUCCUCAUAGGUGAAAUCCUGAAGUAUACAUUAUUAAAGGCUAAAUUUAGGCUUUAAUAUUGUAUACUUGAUUUUCUCCUAAAUUUGAAUUUUGAUCUGCUCUUAUUUAGGCUUUUAUCUCUUCCUCUCCCUUAAGUAUCAAUAUUAAAGGCUAUAUUGAAACAUUCUAUGCACUUCUUCAUCCAAAAUCAAGUCUCUAAAGUAGUUAUAUUUCAAUUUAAAUUUUCUAGUAUAAUUGCUUACAUCUAUUUGCAUAGCGUUGUUAUUUAAAAUCAAUGUUCAAAUCUCAUCAUCAAAUUUAAUUACAAUAUAUGAUAAAUGAAUUGUGAUGGUAUUGAAUUUAUUCAAGUGUAGUGUAAGAGAGAUACCUUAUUCCAUCUUUAGGUUGAAUAAAAUUUUCAUUAUUCAUACUUUGUAAUUUAUUGAUGGCUUGAGAAGGUUUCCAUUAGCUUUAUAGUGAUCAUUUCCUUCGUAAUAUUAUGAGCAACUUUCCUAAAACUUGCAUAUCAAGAAGGUUCCAUUUAUUCUCCUUCAUCUUGUCUAGCUUCUUUCGUAAUAAAAGAAGAUAAAGUGUAAACCCUUGAAUAAAAUAAUUUCAUCUUGAUUUAUUAAAGUAAAAUAAAAUACAAAGGAUGUAGAGAAAUGAUUAAAUUGAACAAAUUAAAUGGAUUAAAAGAGAAGUUAUUUAAUGAGAAGGGUGAAAUUGAAAACAAUAAUAAAGGAGUAAGGAGUUAGUAAAGAGAAAAAGAAGUAGUAGGGUAAAUGGAUUAAUAAAAGGAAUGGUGAGGUCAAUGUGAAAAUAGAAGUAAAUAUGAGGGGCAAGAUGCAAAUAAGGAAAGAAUAUAAUUAUACAUAACAAGAAAUCUCUAGAAAUUCCUAGAGUAAUGGCCGGCCAAGGAGAGAAAGAAAAGAGGAGAAAAGAAAAAAUUAAAAGGAAACCUUGUAGAUUCAACCUUUGAAUCCAAAGAAAAGUGAGAGUAAGUGAACUAAGAGUGCUUCAAGUAAGAAUUAGAAAGAAAACUUUGAGAAAAACCUAGAGAAUUUACUAGUGGGAAGGGAAGGGUUAGAAGAAGGAAGGAAAGAAAGAAGGGGAAGAAGAAAAAGGGUUGUUCUCAAUCUUUUGACUCAUUUUUUUGUAAUAGAAGGUAAUAAACUCUCUUAUUAAGUUACUUGAAUUUGUUUGUGUUUUCCUUGAAUAAUUGAGAUUUUAGAAUACCCUAAUCUAGGUUUAAGAAGGUUGUUCUCAAUCUCUUGACUCAUGGGAAAUGAAUUUAUACUUGUUGAACUUAAAAAUCAAAACUGGACAAGUGAUCUCUUAAUUUCUCUACUAAGAUUUGAACCCUAAGAUGACAGAAUUUGAGAUAUUUUUCUUCAUGAAAGUUGUAGACAUGGAUGUUACCUUUCAAAUGAAAUUGACCUUACUUAAAUUGGAGUGACAAAACACUAAAUAUGAAAGAAAAACUAAAGACAGGUCAAAACCCGGGAAUCAGCAGGACAAAUGUUUAGGUUUCUGAAAUUUGUGAAUUUAGGCAUGUAGAUGGAAACAACUGGGUAUAUUCAUCUUCAUGAAAGUUGUAGACAUGGAUGUUACCUUUCAAAUGAAAUUGACCUUGCUUAAAUUGGAUUGACAAAACACUAAAUAUGGAAGAAAAACUGAAGAUAGAUAAAAAAAACCAGGAAUCAGCAGGAUAUAUUUUUGGGUUUUUGAAAUUUGUGAAUUUAGGCAUGUAGAUGGACAAAAUGGGUAUAUUCAUCUCAUGAAAGUUAUAGACCUAUGUUUUAGUGUUCUAAAGAAACAAAUCACGCAUAAAAUCGAGUUUUAUAGCUCCAGUUAAACUCAAAAUACUAAACAGUGUUUGGAAUCCGUUAUGUUGAGCUACCUAAAACUUGUAAAUUGGUAACUUCUGUUUGGAAUUGUUUUUUAUUACAAAAUAUUGAAUUAUAUAGGUAGUCCGUAAAUGUGUGUAUGUGUGGCCAAGACCUGAAAUAUAAAUUAGUGUAACUAUUGGUACAAGUGAGAUUGUGAGAAAUAGACGAGAGUAGGGGACGACUAACAGAGCACAUAUUUCAGGUAGAUGUCUGACAUUUAGAUCUCUAAUUUAAAGUCUUGUUUAAUUCUUUAGCUUAGUCCCUAAUAAGAGUUAGUUCAAUUUUUUGUAUUUAUAUGUAGUGUUUAAAUGAUGGUUUAACCAGUUUCUGGUUUGGGAUUGGCGCCUAGUGAAUGGGUUGAUGAUUGGAUAGUAUCCUGGUUUGGAACUGGUGCCCUAUUAUUGGGCUAAUGGUUGGACUAGUGUCCUGGUUCGGAAUUGCUGCCCUGUGAAUGGGCUGUUAGUUGAACCCGUAUUCUGGAAUGGAACUGGUGUUCUGGGAAUGGACGAUCAAUAGAAUUAUUUAUUAUUGGACAAGAUUGAUGUGCUGACAAGUGAGAAAUUAUAGAAAUUGCUGAUAAAUGAAUUCAAAAACAAAUUGUCAGUGUAAUGAAAAAUAUAUUAGAUCAUCUGAAUUAAUUUAAUUAUGUUUAUGCAAAUUACUAUGUUGGUUCAUCUCAGCAGCGUAACCCUUAGUUGAUGCAUGGGUGUUCCCUCUGUAUAGUCACUUAAGUUAAUAGGAAGAUGGAAGAAUUUUAUUUUGGGUUGUAUAUAACAAUACUUCUAAUUUGUAUGUAUAAAGUUAUGUAAUACUAUUUUGUUAAAACUUUAAGUAGUAAUUUGAAAUUUAAAAUCUUUAUUAUGCUAAUGUAUGAAUGCAAUUACAAUGGUUAAUUAAUGGUUAUCUUUUAUUUUUAAAAAAAAAAACUUCCUGAGAUUCUUCUCAUUUUUAUAACUUGAUAAAUAUGUGAAUUUUUUUUUCUUAAAAGUUUGGGGUGUUACAGUUUGAGACUUGGAAUGAUUGGAAUGUGCAUAAACAAUGAAUACAGGAUGUGUACAAAUGAUUUGUCGAUAACUUGGGACCUCUCGGUAUAGGGGAGACUCUGCCGAAAUUUUAGUAGAAAUUUUAAAAAUCUUUGUAUAAGUUCAACAAAGAAAAUAAAGUAAAAAAAAAUUACCAUGUUUCUUUUUCUUCUUUUUUUGAUGCGUUGGUUUUGAAAAUGGGGAUGUUACAUAAAGUUUCUUCUUAUAGAGGUAGCCUUCUAUCUCUAUGUUAUAAUACGUAAAACCUAUGCCAUUAAAUUUGUCUAUUCAAGUAGCCUUUACUUCUUGUCUAACCAUUUAUUCUUUUUGAAGAGUAAUUGAGAAUCAAAUAGUAAUUAAAAAGUCUUAAUCUAAUUUUAAGUCCAAUCUAGAUAAUUAGACUCUGUAGUUAUGAACAAAAUGAUCAAUUUAACUAGAAAUGAGUCUAGAGUCAUCAAAAUCAGACUUCAAAUGGCUUAGAUUUGAAAGAAAAAUCUACCCUAACAGAUGCCUUAUAUUAAGCAAUAACACCGAUUGUACAUAAGCAAAACAUACUAGAUUGCUCUCCUGUGAUAACAUGGAAGAUGAUUAGACCUAAAAAGCUAAUGUGUCUAAUGACAUGCCUAACAGCAUGGUAGUUGACACUUUUAAUAGAGUGUUAUGAUAAAUACGCCUUUUGAAUGAUGUGGAGGAUACUAUAUUGAUGACUUGGACAGUUUCAAAUCCAAAACAUGAUUGUUUGGUUAUAAACCAGGUUAGUGAAUGAUGAUGAUGAUGAUGACGACGACUAGUAUGUGGAGAAGGCAUGUGAGAUUGUGUGGGCAACAAUCCUUCAAUAAGUGUAGCAUGUGUAGCAUACUCCUAUUUCUAUUUUGCACAUGUUUCCAUCGUUGUGUUCAUCAAAGUCAUCUUCACAAUGAUAUAUUCAAAAUAUAUUUUUGAACACUUUGAUUUAUAAGCAAAAAUAAAAAAAACAAAUUAUUAGAAUUUGAUAUCAGUUGUUAUACAUGAGAUUGAUGCCUAAAAUCAAUAACACAACUUUUAACAUGGUUUGACAAUUGUCUAUAACUAGAAAGCUAUUAAUUUUACUAGAUAGAUAAUACACACACAGAGUAAUGGAGGAUGAGGAGGUGCUCAACUCCCAACUCUUUACAAUUGACUCACUUUUUUCUCACUCACUCUUUAUUUAUAAUUAAAAUAUGGGAACACACAUCUCAUUUGUAGCCAUGAUUUUCCUUAUAAUUUUACAAAUAAACCAACAAAAAUCUUUCCUCCUAAUUUGCAGCCAUGAAAACAUAUAGCCUAAUUUAUAGCACUUAAAUCUUCCUUUCCCUUUUAGCUUAAUUUGUAGUUGGAUAUGUGCUUUUAUUGUCUCCAUACACAAUAAUAUAUCUGCCAUAAAUUAUUCUAUAAUUAUAUUUCUUGAUGAGAAGCCUUUCAGUAUGCCAUGAUUCCUAUCAAAGAACGGUAGCUUUGUCAUUACCAAUAUCAUAAUGAAUCCUCUCUUAAAUGGUAGGCAGCAUUGGCCAAAUUUUUAUCAAUUUUCUCUAAGCUCAAUAGUAAUCUUGUGAAAUCUUUACUUCUCUUAAACUUUCUCCUUUUAGCAUAUAAAUUGAAUCCAUGCAACCCAUAAGGAUCUUAAUUGAAGAAAAAAAACUCCAUAUAAAUAUCAUAAUGUAAGCUAUAUUCCAUUCCUCUAUCAUCCUCAAACCCAAACCUCCCUCCUGUUUUAGGAAAGUAACCUUCCCCAUGUUACUUUUGCUCCCACAGUAGUCACUUAUUCCAUUUCAUAAGAAGGAAUUGCAAUUUUGCUCAACGAUUCUGAUGACUUUUCCUCAUGCAGCAUAAUAAAAAAGUGAGCAAAAUUGAUCAAGUAUUAAGUUAAUCAUUUUAAGAUACUUUAAGUUUGUUAAAAGUGCGUUAUAGUAUAAUAGUUGAAUUGCAUUUUAUAUACAUCUUUGGUCUUUUUCAAUUUACAUUGGACAACACUCAUUUCCCACAUAAUUAUCAAACUUGAUAGAAUAUGAAACAAGUAUGAUAUUUUAAAGCAUGUGCUAGCUAACAAAAGAGACAAUGAUGAGAUAAGACUUUUGAUAAUUUGAAAGUGUAGAACUUAGAGUUAUCUCUCUUAGCGAUUCUAUAGGACUUUCACAACAAUCAAAUAUAACUCCAAUCAUUAAAUGACUUUAAAUCUUUGAUCUCAAUAUUUUAUAGUUGUAAAUUAUCAUUUUUUUAUACCUAAACUAUUUGCAAUUUAUAAAAAUAUAUAGAAUUGCUAGAACACAUGAGAAAACAAUUAUUAGAUGGGUAGAUUAAAUUGUUUCUAGUUUUUAAUCAACUUUAAGCCAUGAGUUAGAUGUUAAGGGUUUUUAGCAUAACUGAAUUGUUAUAGUGGUUGGCUCGUGAGUGCCUGAUUAAGAAUGCGCUUGGGAACGCGGUGCAAACCGUGUUCCUAAAAAAAUUUUAAUUUUUUUUUUUUUGCUAAAAUUUAAUAUGGUUUGUAUGUUUUCGAUCGUUUUGAUGUGCUGAUGUCAAAAAUAAUUUUUAAAAAAUGAAAAAACAUCAUUGGCAUACAUUUCGGCACAAAAAAUUAUUUAAAAAGCAACUGCUACCAUACUGCCAAACACUCUCUAAAUUAGCAGACUCGGUCUUAACAAUCUUGGUUAAAAGGUGUGGAGUUGAUUAAUUUUGUUAAUACAUGUAACAACCCGACUUUUCAAGCCCAAAACAACAGUAAAUUUUUUUUUGUACUUCACACACAUCGUGUCGGUAAUCAGCGAACAUGUUCCCUUCACAUCAUCAAUAUACAAUCCAUACAUCAAUAACAAUCAACAUUUCAGUUAAAAGUGAAUCUUACAUAAACUCAUAAUAUUAUGUUUGCAUGAUUAGAAGUUCGCAUUUAAAAUAUACAUGCAUAGACAUGAGUUUGUAUUAUAUCCUACAAAUAGUCAUCAUGAAUUUAAUCUAAAAGGAUCUAAUAAUAGUUAUACAUUCAGUACAUUGAUUCAUAUAAAAUACAUUAUGAUUUAGAAUGCAACUACAUGAUUCCUUGCAAAAGUAGGUUCCCGUCUAUUAGGUUUCCUAGGCACCUUGUUGAUAUGACGUCCCUACUGCAGUACAAAAUAUUUACAAGAAUGCAAUUACUUAAUAAUAAUAAUAAUAAGAAAACGGUCUGACAGUUUAAUGAAGCAUUAACAUUAUUUCAUGUUUGAAGCGUGACAUUUGUAGUUCCUUCAUGUUCUUGGUAUACACAACUUACAGCACAUAUAUAUGCACCAAUUCUUACAAUCAACCAUAAUCUUAAAUCCGGCCAUUCAUUUAAGACAUCAUUUGUCAAGGUUAACUGUUCACUCACCCCGGCCAUCCCCUUCGAAUGCCAUCAGCCAAAGCUAAUCAACUAUUUGUCCCGGUCAUCCAUUCGGAUGCCAUUAGCCAAAGCUAAUCAAUUGUUUGUCCCAGUCAUCCCUUCGGAUGCAAUUAGCCAAAGCUAAUAAUUCGUUAGCUAAUCAUUCGUUUGUCCCGGCCAUCCCUUUGGAUGCAAUUAGCCAAAGCUAAUCAUUCGUUAGCUAAUCAUUCGUUUGUCCUGGUCAUCCCAUCGGAUGCCAUUAGCCAAAGCUAAUCAUUCAUUUGACCCGGCCAUCCCUUCGGAUGCAAUUAGCCAAAGCUAAUCAUUCGUUUGUCCCAGUCAUUCUUUCGAAUGCAAUUAGCCAAAGCUACUCAUUCGUUUGUCCUGGUCAUCCCUUCGGAUGCCAUUAGCCAAAGUUAAUCAAUCAUUUGUCCCGGCCAUCCCUUCGGAUGCUAUUAGCCGAAACUAAUCAUUCGUUUGUCCCGACCAUCCCUUCGGAUGCCAUUAGCCAAAGCUAAUCAUUCGUUUGUCACGGUCAUCCCUUCGGAUGUCAUUAGCCGAAACUAAUCAAUUGUUUACAUAUAAGCAUUUGACAGUCUGGUAUCUGAAUUAACAUAAUACAGUAAUAUUCAUGAUAAAGUAUUUUCAUUAUUCAACAUUAUUUAAAAUGAAGGUGAAAGUCACCUAACUGCAGUAGAGGCUCUACUCGUGCUCCCCUGUUGCUGCUGUUGCACCACACCGGUGGUCCUUCCUACAGUCACAGACUCAUCUCAUAAAUUUUUCUCAUUCAAGGAUAUGUUUUAUAAUAAUCAUAUCAAUAGCUAAUAAAUCUUUCUUUCAAUCAUUUCUUUCUUUAUAUCUUACGUUUUUCUCAUUACACCCAUUAAUGUUGUCAUUCUUUAUCCAACCAUAGUUAUCAUUCCUUCAGGCCGAUAUUACAGAGAAUCCAUAUUCAUUCAUUACUCAUAUGUUACUUUCUAUGCAUGUUAAUUUCCUCAUAAUAACAUACAUACAUAUAUCAUGUAUAUUUUCACAGUUAGUAUCUCAAUGUGCAAGUGUUCGUAUGACUCAAUUCUUUUAUAUAGUAUUCACGUGAAAGUCUACUGUUACUGUCUAACUUUGAACUGUUAUUGUCCAAUUUCCAAUUGUUACUAUCCAACUGUUACUGUCUAGAUAUUGAACUGUUAUUGUCUACCCAUUCAACUGUUACUGUCUAGACAUUUGAACUGUUACUGUCUACACAUUGAACUGUUACUGUCCAACUAUUACUGUCUAACAUUGAACUGUUACUGUCUAGACAUUUAAACUGUUACACAUUGAACUGUUACUGUCUAACUUUGAACUGUUACUGUCUAGACAUUUGAACUGUUACUGUCUCCACCUUGAACUGUUACUGUCCAACUGUUACUGUCUAACUUUGAACUCUUACUGUCUACACAUUGAACUGUUACUGUCCAACUAUUACUGUGAACUGUUACUGUCUAGACAUUUGAACUGUUACUGUCUCCACCUUGAACUGUUACUGUCUAACUUUGAACUCUUACUAUCUAGACAUUUGAACUGUUAUUGUCUACACAUUAAACUGUUACUGUCUAACUUUGAAUUGUUACUGUCUAGACAUUUGAACUGUUACUGUCUACACAUUAAACUAUUAAUGUCCAACUGUUACUGUCUAACUUUGAACUCUUACUGUUUAGACAUUUGAACAGUUACUGUCUACACAUUGAACUGUUACUGUCCAACUGUUAUUGUCUAACUUUGAACUGUUACUGUCUAGACAUUUGAACUGUUACUGUCUCCACAUUGAACUGUUACUGUCUAACUUUGAACUGUUACUGUCUAGACAUUUGAACUGUUAUUGUCCAACUGUUUUUGUCUAACUUUGAACUGUUACUGUCCAGACAUUUGAUCUGUUACUGUCCAACUGUUAUUAUCUGAACACUCAUCAUAUUUUUAACUAUAUCUAGAGUUAUAGAACUCUGUUUCAAGCAAGAUUAGUCUCGUUGGAAAGCUAAUACACGAGGCUACAAGUUCUUUGAAGUAAGGAGAACCUAGUUCUGCCUCCGAGAUAGUCAAAAUUGCUCAUCAUCAACAAACACUACCCUACAGGGUCUGUCAGGACCCAAUCUCAGUUGAUGACCCAUAGCUGGGGUUCUACACCUCCAUAUUGAGCAAGACUAAUUUUUCUUAGUUAGCUAACAUCCAAAACUACAAUUACUAUGAGAAACUUGAUCCUAAUUCUCUCAUCCUCCUACUCGAAUUCUCUUCAAAAGUCACGAGACGAAUCUGUCCAGAUUCAUCAACCUUUCCAUUUACACACAACAUCCAUAAUUUAACUUUUUCUCUUUUAUCUCAACCCCUGGCCAUAUCACAUAUCGUUUAAGAGUGUCAAAAAAAAAUCUUUAUAAGAGCCAAUUUACCUUAUUUAUUUCAAUCAUGCCUCUUAAUGUCAAAAUAAAACAUUCUUAUCGAUUUUACAAACUUUCCGAACAAUAUUCUUCUAAACACAAUUCUUGACAACAGUUUCAAUCAACCAUAAAUAACAAACGAAUAAUAUUCCAAACAAUCCAUAUUGUAAAGUUAUAAUGCAUUAUUAUGAGUAUAACAUAUCCAAAUAUUAACUUCAUCAAAUGGUGAAAUUUCCAGAAAUAUGGGUUUAACCGAACUGACCUCAAACUUGCAGACCUACUGUGCGAGAUACACAACUUCUAUACUGAAUGUUUGUUUCAGAUCUCCACCGUUCAGAGUCUAGAAAGAAUCAGGAAGAACAACAUAUCCCAAUUAUAGCCUAAUCCAACGGUUGCCGAAAGACAAAACAGAUAGCAAAGAAGACUGUCCAGAAGUGUAUUUUCCCAGAUAUUUCCCCCCUCGAUAUCUCUCAAAUAGAGACUCAUAUAGACAAUCCCUCCGAUGAAAAUGUACACGACAUGGAUGAGCACAACGUAUCCGAAUAUCGUUCUGAUCCAACGGUGGAAGGUGAAGUUAUAGCUAUCAGAUGUUCUGCCAUCAAUAUGUCUUCUCUCCAGCCUCUCUCUAAACUCUCUCUUACUCUUACCAGUCCCUCAAAGAGAGAAAAUAGAAUGAUAUUUAUAGUUCUAACAUGUUAAUUGCAAAUUUAUCCCCACCCCUUUUUUAUCAUUUGUACAUAAACUCCCAACCUUCUAUUAUUUGAAUAUUUACCUCUCUUGAUUAUACGUAUUCAUUUUGUCCUCACAAAUGUUUUUCUUUCCAAUAAUUUAGUACUAUAUUCACUUUUCAUUUCAUUAAAUCACUAUUUUUAUCUUGAUUUAGUUUCUUUAAUUUAAUUUAACCCAUUUUACUAUUGGUUAAAUUUCUCAUCUUUUAAAUACCUAGAAAAAUUAUAACCUGAGGUUUACAAUACAUGUUUUUAAUAAUCAUCCAUAUAGCAUCAUUUGACAUGUUUAAGCAUGACUAAAGAUGUUAAAAAAAACCAACCAAUCGAGUAAACCGAAAUAACCAAUAAACAAAUUAACCAAAAAAUCUAAGAAAUCGAUUAAAAACAAAAUCACUCAGUCAGCUAAAAAAUCAAAGAAAUCAAUAAAAAAAUAAGAAAAUUAACCCUAUCCAGUUCGGUUUCUGUUUUAGAAAGCUAAAACUAAUUGAAGCAUACUAGUUCAAUUGAAUUUCAAUAGUAUAAAAAGAAAACAUAUUCAAACCCUAAAAGAAUUUGAGUCGCCCCUCCCCCUCUCUUUUGUUUUCUCUUGUUCUCCUAAGAUUACCUAACCCUAAAUUCCUUUUGAGUUUUAACACCAACCACAACUUAACACCUCCCGCUUGCCCUCUCUCUCUCACUCUUUUUUUCUUCUCUUAACCCUAAAUCAUCUCUCUCAUUCUAGUUUGAUUUACAAAAAAUUAAAUAUUUUCAAAGCUUAAAUCCAUCUAUUCUAAGGUAAUCUCAAACAAAAACAAGUUGUAAUAUUUUAAGCUUAUAAUAGAGUUUAUUGCUAUGUUUCAGUUGUUGUUUUUUUAAUAUUUAGGAAUUUUAUUGAAACUACUGUUAGCUUUGAACACUUUAGUCAUGUUUAUAUUGUCUCCUAUUUUGUUUAAUCAAAAGAUUUUUUAACUUGAUUUCACUAAUUAAAAGUCAACUAUUUUGUUUUAGAAUUUCUGUUUGGUGACCGACCUUGCAAAUCUUCCAGGAUAGUACUAAGAAUGUAUGAAUCUAAUGAACCGAACUUUGGAUUUUCAUUCAGUGAUAUGUUAAUGGAAGGAUCAGAUCUACGAUGAAAAUUACCAAAACUUCAAAGGUGUUUUUCAUCUCUUCAUUCUUUCACUUCAUUUUUUUAAAUAUUUUUCAUUAAUACUUGGUUUAAGUAAUUUUCAAAUAAGAAGUUGCUAAGCAUGUGAAGAAAUCUUUCUUGGAAAGAGAAGUUGACUUGCAAGAAUGGGAGAUCCUUAAAAAAUCAUAUCAAUUUAAAGCAAGUAAGGGUGGAGAUGGUACUAGCAGGGAAGCUUAUAUGGAUUUAUCAAAAUCAUACAAUGAUGUAAGUUUCUUUUCUUGGCCAUUUGAAACUACUGAGUUUUUUUAUUUAUAAAAAUCAAUUGUAAAGUAUUUUGUAUUUUAUUUUAUUUUUAUUUUUUGUGGGUCAUCGAUCUAAAUGGAAAUAUAUUAUGUACCUGGUUUUAUUAAGAUGUAGUUAUAUAUCAUUAAAUCUAUUGCAUGUGCAAUUUGAUUUUUACUUCUUGACAUUUAUAUUUAUUGUUUUCAUGUCCUUCUCAUUAUCAACUAUGCUAGACAGAUUGGAUUUCUUGCUCAACAUUAUACGGGGUCACAAAUGGUUAUAUUAAAUCUCCUACUAGUGGUUGCAAAUCAUAUUCAAAUACGUAUGAGAUGGAUUUUUUUUCUUCCAUAUUAUUGUUUUUAUUAAAAAAAACCUCUACAUGUUUUAAUAUUUCUAGCUUUUUUUUAAUAAAAUUCUAUCUAUAGUCUACAUAUAUGCAUUUUAGUAUGUGUGCUCUCCCUUUUGUUUUUUUCCUUUGAAAAGGCAUAGCUACUCGUAGUAUUUACAAAGAAGACAUUAAUAUUCUUUUAAUCCUGUCUUUUAUGAUAAGCUGGUUUUCAAUGGAAUAUUUUAUUGAGAUAGCAUAUUUUCCAUGGUAACUUUUAUGUACAACUAUCCCUUUAUGGGUUCAACACAAUUUUAAUGGUCAUUUAUGGCCAUCGACUUUGCCUCAGUUGUUGUAUAUUACUCUGAUUCAGUUGUCGAUUACUAAAAAAAUUCUAAUAUAUUGCUAAUUUGUUAGUGUUUUUUAUAGUAUUAACCUUGCAAAAAAAUUUAAUUUUUGUUGUUGCUGAGUUUUCUAGAUGUUGUUAUUGCUUGGUUUUUUAUUUAUUUAUUUAUUCAAUUUCAUCUUAUUUAAAUUUAUUCUUAUUAAAUUUGUUAAUAUGUUAAUGUAUUUGCUUGUAAGAAAUGUUAACACCUUUUUGUUAAUUUGAGGUGAUUAUAUUUCCGAGAUAUAUGUUCUUUUUAAUUGGAUUAAAAAUAUAUUUGUGUACAUUUAUAAAGAAAAAACAGAAGGCUUAAACCCAACAAAAUUUUGUUAAAACCCAAUUUAAUAUAGGUUCAUUAAAAAAACUUAAAAUGUCCAUUUUUGUUGUGCUAGGUUUAUGGUUUUUACACCAAAAAAAUUUAUCUUGACCAUACCAAUCCGGUUCAGUUUGAAUUGAUUUUUGGUUUAGUCUAGGUUAUUUUCCCUAAAUUUAGCAUAUCCUAAUUCGGUUUGAAUUUUUUAUUUAAAUCAGACCAAACUGGAUUAUGAAUGCUCCUAUAAGCAUUUGUUUCAGUUAACUUGAUUUGAUAAAUAUAAAUAUAUAUAAAUCAACAUGCCGUGCAAGAUAACUACAAUCCCAUGUAGGGUAUGCAUCAUAAAAAAUAAUUGAGACAAGAAACUUUAAGUUUGGGACUCAAUUAUGGAUUUUCUAAAAACAUAUUAUAUUUGUAUAUGAUAAAGUAAUUGAAAUCCUACUCAAUAUUUGAUCAUUAAAAUUUAACUGAUUUAGAAGAAGUAUAAAGGAAAAGGAAAGAAGAUAAUGAUGAAUGAACUAAAACAAUUUGUUCUAAUCUAUCUAUAUAAUAAAAAGAUUGAUUUUGAAUGAAAGACAAUGGUAUUUCUUAUUCAAAAAUGGAUAAUUGAGAAAUAAACCAGAAACAAUAAUAAUAAUUAUAGAAAUUGAAAUGAUAGCACUAAAUAUUAAACAAACAAACAAGACGAGUCCACACACAUAAACAAAUUAACUAAAUAAAAACAAUAACACUUACAUUAAACAAAUAUCAAUAAAUAAAUAUCUUGUUUUAAAAAAUAGUUUAAAAACUAAAUUAUUUUUCCGUCUACCAUUUAAAACAUAAAUGAAAUUAAAUAAGAUCUUGGCAUGGACAACAAACACAUAUAAUCCAUAAUCUAAUUCCCGAGGAAAUCAACAUUCUAUGUCGAGAAGCAGAGAAGCUCUUUUGGCUUUAUAAGUUGUCGCCCAGUACGUAACCAAGGCCUGUCUAGCAUCCUCCAAGCCAUACGUAACACCUUUCCUUUGAGUCAAAAUCCCAUUCCCAUCCUCGAAAGGAUCUUCGAGAUGCUGCAUGUUCACAAAAAAGGUACAGGCUUUAGAUCAGCUAAAAGCAUAUGAGAAGGAAGUAAAGAAGCAACUUAAAUCGCAUACUUGAUGAACUGCUAUAUCAUUCAUUCCCUUCAAUAUCUUCAUUUUGCUUUUCAACUUCAACAAACUUGGCUAUCUUCCUCGUACGAAUUGAAAAAAUUGGCCAGUUUUUGUGAUACAGAUUGCUGACUUUCAUCCAAGGAUUCUUCAUUUCCACCAUAAUCAUCGUCAUUUUCAUAAACCAAAUGAAUUCCACAUUUCUUCAGCUCGACCCCUUCAAUCACAGGUGGUUUUCGCUUUCUUACCUGUAUCUCAGAUCCAUCUUUCAGCAUUAAAACCAAUGGAUUGAAAUGUGAAUAUCGGCAUAAGUGGAUAUGAUCUUCAUGAGUCUUUGGUAUUCCCUGUAAGUACAAUGUGGUGCUGAAAAUAGGUUUAUUCUGAUCCAGUAGAUUGACCUGAAUGUCUGGUACAACUGGCAAAUAUCUCAACUGCUCUGGUAUCUGACGGUCGAGAGAGACAACGACACCUAUAAUCACAGCUUUGAUUUCACGGUUUCUUCGCUCUGAAAAUUUUACAUCUUCUUGAGAAAACCAAUCUGGGAUUUUGCUCCCAGGCAUGCUUAGGUUGCGUAUAUUCCUCAAGCAAACCUAGAAUAAUAAUGAAAAAGAAAGAAAGAAAAAAGUAAGAGGCAAAACCUUGUUACUCUAAAACUGGCACAUAUAGGUACAAGAUAGAGAACCUUGGAUAGCCUUCUCUUUACUUUCAAGGAGCAUGCCUUGCAAUUGCUCAUAUAUAACCGUUUCAAGGAUUUCAAGCAUUCAAUGCCAGGAAUAUCCACCACUUUCUCGCAAUUUGUCAUGUUCAGCAACGUUAAGCUUCCCAAGUUUGAAACAUCCGACAUAGUUUCCAAUGCAAAGCAGUUGGAAACAUCCACUUCUACUAAGCUUGAGGGAAGCGGAGGGAGAGACUCAAGUUCUUCGCAGUGGGGCAAGUGAAGCUUCCUUAGAAGAGAAAGGCCACAUAAACUAGAUGGAAGACUGCUGAAAUUGUUAUGGCCAAGAUCCACCAUCUCUAAUGAUGACAGUUUCUCAAAAUCGUCAGGAAUUUUACCUGAUAUUCUCCAAGCACGGGCAUUUAGUUCUUUUAGCAAGGAUAGCUCGAAGAAGGAACUUGGGAGGACAACCAAUUGCUCCUGUGUGCUGGGAGAUUCAAGUGGCUCUUUUCCCAUUUUCAAUAUCAUUAAGUUAGAGAGCUUUCCAAAACUUUCAGGUAGUACUGUAACAGCUGUCUUCUCCAUUAACAAGUGGCAUAAAGACUUCAACUUCCCAAUAGAAACUGGAAGCUUUUGGAGCUUUCUACACUGAUGUAAUCUCAACAUCACAAGGUUUUCCAGCAUCCCAAAGGAUUCAGGCAACUCAUUAAUAUUACAACCAAACAAGUUUAAGGUAGUAAGACUCAACAUGCUCCCAAUUGAUUCUGGCAAAGAACUAAGAGAUGUACACUUCCUCAUGUAAAGCUUCUCAAUCAUUUUCAAACCACCAAUCUGCUCUGGAAGAUGUGAGAUUGAUGUCUCAUCUAGCUCAAGUUCGCUAAUAGAAGCUAGUCCUCCAAUGGAAUCAGGUAAUUUGCUCAGGGACCGACACCCUCCAGCUGAUAAUAUUUUUAAAUAAGGUAAUGAACCGAUUGCAGGAGGUAAUUCCUUGAUUGCACUGCUAUUGAUGGAAACUUCGGUCAAUAACUGGAGAUUGCCAACAGAUUCAGGAAUCGCAGUAAGUGAUUGACACCACAUCAAACUUAGUUUCUCAAGGUUUGACAAAGAUCCGACAGAAUCAGGCAGUUCUUCUACUGCAGAUUGAUUGAGAGAAAGUUCCUUCAGAGAACUCAGGUUUCCCAAGUGUUUUGGCAGCCUUUUGAUGAAUUGGCAUCCAUUCAAACUAAGCUUCUCCAGUUUUGUAAGGCGGAAAAUAGAUUCGGGCAGCACUGAUAUAGCAGUUUUAUCAACAAGAAGUUGUUUUAAGGAAUACAUGCUGCCUAUUUCCUGUGGCAAGUCUUUCAAGUUUGGACAGUUAGAGAGAUUGAGGUUCUGAAGAACUUUUAGCCCAGAUACAUCACUUGGAAAUUCAACAAGGUUUGAGCAAUCAUUCAAGUUCAACUGAAGUAAUGUCCUUGCAUUCCCCACUGAUUUGUGAACCUUAGUUAGCCGAACGCAACCCUGGAGAUUAAGUUUUUCCAAGGUUUUACAUCCAGAUAAAUCAGGACAAGCCACGAGAUUAUAGCAACCGUGAAGAUCCAUAACCAUCAAGUUCUUGGCCACCUACAAAGAUGAAUUUUAAGUAGCAAACAUGAGUUACUAAGAGGAAAACGACAUCAUUUUCCACAAGGGACAGAUUGCAAAUACUAGAAUGAAUUCAAAUGAAUUGUGAUGAUGACACUAUCCCACAUCGGUUAGGAGAGGAGGUCAUGGUUGUUUAUAAGCACAAGGUUCAACCAUUCCCUGGUGAUUUUAUAAGCACAAGGUUCAAUCUCCCUUUGGCAUGAUUGAAACAGGGAGACCUGAGUAGUUAUUUAGCAUUUUCUUUUAAGCCAUUAUAUGUACUAGAUAAACAAAUCAUACCUUGUUACUGGUCCAACCCCAAACUCGUUCAAUUCCACUCUCCGAAAGAUCAAGCACAGCUAGCUCAUGAGGAGCAUAAUCAGAAGGAAGAUUUUUCAUAGGACAAUUUUUCCACUGAAGCCACUUCAGGCCAGCAGGAAAAUUCUUGAACUUCCCUUGCAGUUUUGCAUGAUUGAUUUGCAGCAGUCUUAGAUUAACCAUUGAUUUAAAGCCUUCAGUGUCAAGUAUCAUCUCUCCCUCCUCUUGUCCUUGUCGAAGAAAAAUGUUACACUUUUCAAUCAAGUACGCAAGUGCUGAACACGGAUUCAGUGCUCUAACCCAAGAAAUCCAUUGAGUUCUCGUAUAUUUCUUCUUUUCUUCUCCCUCUUGUCCUCGUCGAAGAAAAAUCUUACACUUUUCAAUCAAGUACGCAAGUGCUGAACAAGGAUUCAGUGCUCUAACCCAAGAAAUGCGUCGAGUUCUCGUAUAUUUCUUCUUUUCGAAGUCGAAAACUAUACCUUGUACACUUUCAGUGCCCUGUUGACAGUCAUUAAAGGAAGACAUUCCAGAAUAAGAUUGGAAACAAAGAUUCAGAUCCUCUCAUGUUUCUUUUAGAAUUUAAAUUGGAUGAACAUGAUUUGAUUCAUAAAAAAUAAUAAUAACUCAACUUUUUAUUAUUUUAUUGCUCUCGCCUAAUCAUAAUUACUGAAUUCAAAAUCAAACAUAAAAAAUCCUAAUCCGACAUUUUAAUCCGACAUUUUAUAGUACUGUAACGAAAAAAAGAGCACAAACAAUCUAGGAAAAUAAAAAUUAAACACCUUAAAGUUUGCGAAGAAUCACAUAUUUUUCCCGAUUGAAUCACUUGGAAACAAAAUCCAUACUCAUCUCUCAGAUUUCAGAAGAUUCUUUAUCGAUAGGUUUUAUCGAUAAUACAUAAAUAUAGAAUGACUAAUAUUACUUAUCAAAAAUAUAAUAUUAAUAUUUAGAAUGUUCUAUCAAAAGUGUUAAGGUUAAGGUCAAAAGUGGUUAGAAUGCUCUAUCAAAAGAUAUAAUAUUGUACUAAUAUUACUUAUCAAAAUAUUAUAUUAAUAUUUAGAAUGCUCUCACUACAAUAUUUAACAGUUUUAUCAACGGAAUUUUAACACAUAUUCCAUUAGUAAUAAUUUACCAAUAAAAUCACCGACAGAAAUGCUCCAUCGAUGAAUCUUUCAUCAGUAAUUAUCGGUAAUUUUUUAUCCGUUGGUAAUAAAAAAAAUAUUAUUACUGACGAAACAGACACGUAAAAAAAAAUUACCGCUUCAUUCCAUCGGUAUAUCCCUCGGUAAUAAUAUUUUUUAUUACCAACGGAUUUAUCAAGGGAUAUACCGACGGAAAUUCCAUCGGUAAUUAUUUAAAAACAUUUAAAAAAAUUCAUUUUAUAAAAUUAUAAAAUAAUUAAAUUAACAUAAAAUCAACACUCUAUAAUAUAUACUCAAAAUGCUUGGAAAAAAGAAUAAUAAAAUCAACUCAAAAAAAUUUGCAACAAAUAAGUAAAAUGAAAAGAUAAAUUCAACUAAAAAAAUUCAUAUGAAAAAAUGAAGUUGCAAUUGCUAAAAAUUUAAAAAUCCUAUAAAUAAAUCAACUAAAAAUUGAUCUCGUAUGAAAAAAAAAAUCUCACAACAACAUUUAUACAAUUAUUAAGAACAAAAACAAUUAAAAAUAAAAUAAAAAAUAAAUAUAUUGAAAAAAAUCAUGAAAAAAAGAAGAAAAAAGAAAAAUCUUACCUUAAUAUAGUUGCAAGUGAAGCUAAGGAGAGAGAAAAAAUUUCGUAAAGCAUAUUAAUUAAAAACAAAACUAAGAGAAUAAAAGAAGAAAAAAGAAGAAGACAUACCCGAGUAUGGAGGAGAAGAGAAGGAGAUGAGGAGAGAAGAGAAGAGAAAGAAAUAGAUAUUGAUGUUUUUUACAUAUAGUGAAGAAGAAGAAGUAGAAGAAGAAGAAUAAUAAGAAAUGAGUAUGUCUCUUAUGAAAUAAAGGGAUUCAGGCUUUUUAUUGGAGCGCGUUAGCGACAGAUUUACCAACGGAUAAUUAAAUAUUAAUAAUAUUUAAUUAUCCAUCGGUAAUAUUUAAUUUAAAUUUUUAAUUUUGUAAAAAAUUUUCAGAAACCACUAACAAUUACUAAUGAUUUUUCAAUCCGUCGGUGAUUCCGUCUGUAAUAUUUAGAUGAAAAUUUUAAAUUAAUUGAAUUUUUUCAGAAAACCAUCAAAUAACACUGACGACUUUUCAAUCCAUCGAUGAUUUUGUCCGUAGAGAACAACAAUUAAUAGUGCAAUUAGAAAGUGAACAGUUCUGGAGCUCUCUGGAAAAUACCGACGGAAAAUUCCGUCGGUGAUUCCCUUUGUAAUUGACAUAAUAAACAGUGUUCACAAUUUACCAACGAAUUUACCAACGGAUUUUACCGAUGGAAUAAAUUCCAUCGGUAAUUCCGUUAGUAAAAAUAACACGUCAUCAUGUUUUUUUGCUUUGUUUUAAUUAUUUUUCCCCACUGUAAUCCCUUCGGUAUAUAUCAAGGGAAUAUUUUUGUUGGUAAAAUCUCUUGGAAAUUUACCGACGGAAAUACUCCUUUAGUAUUUCCGUUUAUAUUUAUUGAUUUUCUGGUAGUGUCUAUCAAAAGUGGUUAAGGUUAAACAAUUAUUUAAAACAUAGAAUAUAUUGAUAAGAAAAUACAUAAUAUACUCAUGGACUGGUAUAAUUAAGCUUCGAAAGUCAAAACCGGGAAUCAAACCCCUAAAACUUCAGCCUAGGAACCUAUCAGUCUUACCAUCAUCUGAUCUACUUAUGUGGGGGUAAAUUCUCAACCUUUAGUUAUAUAUUGAGCUUUUAAAAACUAUGAAAAAAAAAAGAGGAUGAAUGUGUAUGUAUAAAGUAAUGAGGUGCACCUUCUUGCGCAUCAGCGUUGACAUGAUUUCACCGCGAUCCCAUAGCCUGCUACGCCCUCCGGGAUCUGCAAGGUUUUCAUGUUGAACAAUUUGUCUUCCCAUGUCUCUGAGUUGAUCAUGCAUCCAUAAUUCAUCGUCUUCACGAAUCUUAAUGAGACAUUUUGAUGUCAGAACUCUGAUGACUGUCUCAGCACUAAAGCCACAACCCUUCAAAAUAUCAAUUGCUUCCUCUCUUUUCAUUCCCAUUUUAAAAAACAAACAAGCAAUAUCAAGGAAGACAUGCUUUCCAUCUUCAUCCAACUCAUCAUAACUUAUUCGUAACACAUCCUGAAGAUUAUGUGGCCUUAUUCGUUGCAGUUUUUUCAGGGCAUCUUCCCAUCUAUUUAACCCUCUCUCAUUAAACAAAGUAGAACCAAAAACUUCCAAAGCCAGAGGCAGUCCUCCUGUAAGUGACACAAUCUCCUUGGAUAUAUUCAUGUAUUCUUCUGUGGGUUUAUCUUUUCUGAGUGCAUGAUAACUAAAAAGUUGUAAGGCUUCCGGGUCACCUAACUCUCUAACCUCGUAAAAUUCAUUGACAAGGUGUUCAGCUAGAACAGCUUUGUUUCUUGUUGUAACAAUAACUCGACUUCCUUCACCGAACCAGCUUCUAUUCCCUACUAGUGCAUUCAGUUCGCUUACAUCAUCCACAUCAUCUA
This 40223-nucleotide long non-coding RNA is filed under the name Populus trichocarpa (black cottonwood). Its description in RNAcentral is "long non-coding RNA (PTRI_LNC003433)". The stretch from base 16773 to 16927 matches the Rfam family "MIR2912 microRNA precursor family". The record is from RNAcentral. Lineage: Eukaryota; Viridiplantae; Streptophyta; Magnoliopsida; Malpighiales; Salicaceae.